This 72-nucleotide transfer RNA is filed under the name Bacillota bacterium. RNAcentral's name for it is "Firmicutes bacterium (sediment metagenome) tRNA-Val". It matches the Rfam family "tRNA". Rfam says of the family: Transfer RNA (tRNA) molecules are approximately 80 nucleotides in length. Their secondary structure includes four short double-helical elements and three loops (D, anti-codon, and T loops). Further hydrogen bonds mediate the characteristic L-shaped molecular structure. tRNAs have two regions of fundamental functional importance: the anti-codon, which is responsible for specific mRNA codon recognition, and the 3' end, to which the tRNAs corresponding amino acid is attached (by aminoacyl-tRNA synthetases). tRNAs cope with the degeneracy of the genetic code in two manners: having more than one tRNA (with a specific anti-codon) for a particular amino acid; and 'wobble' base-pairing, i.e. permitting non-standard base-pairing at the 3rd anti-codon position. Lineage: Bacteria; Bacillati; Bacillota. The record is from RNAcentral.
GGGCGGUUAGCUCAGCGGGAGAGCGCCUGUCUUACACACAGGUGGACGGGGGUUCGAAUCCCUCACCGCCCA